Bubalus bubalis (water buffalo) is the source of this 111-nucleotide small nuclear RNA. Lineage: Eukaryota; Metazoa; Chordata; Mammalia; Artiodactyla; Bovidae. The record is from RefSeq and is a predicted model, not a curated record.
UUAUCAUCCGAUUAAAAAAUGAAAAACAAAAUAAAAUGGGGGUGAUACAGAAGAUUAGCAUGAUCCCUGCACAAGGAUAACAUGCAAAGUCAUGAAGCGUUCCAUAUUUUU